This is a long non-coding RNA of Mauremys reevesii (Reeves's turtle), 1681 nucleotides long. RefSeq lists it as uncharacterized. The transcript is spliced from 4 exons. The record is from RefSeq and is a predicted model, not a curated record. Lineage: Eukaryota; Metazoa; Chordata; Testudines; Geoemydidae.
CAUAGAACCACUUGAGAUCAAUAGGGGCUGUUCCCUAGUGAUGCUGCUCCUGGCCAAGUCUGAAACCCAAAAGUUACAGCACUAUCAGCCUGAAAGUGAAACUGGCGAUCAAUAAAAAUGAAGCUGAAUUAACUGAUUUUCAUUUGCCCAAGAUCAGAAGAAUGUAAGAAGUAAACAAAAAAGAAACAGAUUAAACUAGCUGUUUGCAUUGCUGCUGAAGGCUUGGGAAAUGUCACAAACCAUCACAGCACAGGAAUUCAAAGAGAAAUACUUUGGGGGAAGCAGUCAGUGGCCUUCUAUCAAAGCCUCUUCUAUCAUUUCAGGCCUUUCAACUUUUGCAGGGCAUAAUUGUUUUUGUGGUGCCCAAUUGGCAAAAGGAGAUGUUGUUCCAGACUGAUGGUGGGUAACCUGCAGUGUAUACAGCCCAAUUGUGACAAUGUUUAGUGACUGAACAGCACAUCUGUGAGUCGAGGGGGCUGGGGAGCUAACAAGGUGGACCUGGAAAACACGUCCUUUCCAAAAAGGUGACUACCGCUCUGGAGCUCCUGUUUCAGAAAAAGUUUACAGCUAUCAGCAACUGGCAUUGGGUCAGAAUUUAUGAGGGAAUCAACAGGAUGCUGCAUUAGCUUCUACAUGGCUUACCUUGUUACGGCUGCGUGCAAACAUAAAGAACUCCACAGCCGGCACAUUUCUGGAUUAAAAACUCAAAAUACCCAUUGUACUUGGGACAAAUGAUCUUGUCACCUAUGGACUGCCAAAAUGGACUAGAUUUGUAAAUGGAACACAUUUCUCUCCCCCACCACGGUCACUGUUUCCAGGUGGUUGACAGACUGUGGAGUGGUUACAGAACCACAAACCUAAAGGCAUGGCAAUGGAAGAUUAUUUCUAAGAAACAGGAAUGGCCCUAGCAAAAAUCUGCAUCUUUCCAGUAAAAAUUCACUUUAAAGCACUUAUUUACUGUUUGCAUUUGCCAGUCCCCAUUUUGAACGACAUAUGGUGGAUGGGAGGGGAAGGAGGGACACCAAAGCACUAGGAUACAAUCCACCAUCAGCAGAUACAUACUGCUAGCUGGGGCUUCUCGUAACUUUUGCAUUGGUUCAUAGAGUGGAAAUCACUCCCAUUACAGUAUUAUCAAAGUUUAUAAUGGAUCCAUAAACUUAGUGGGCUCAGGGGUGGCUUCUGUCCCUUCUGGGUCUGCUGCAGGCUCUGCAGGGGGCUGUUCUUCCAGCGGGGCAUCAAACAGCUUCUCUGCAGAUGGACCCAGAAUGUGCUGCUGUUGCCCCUGUUCCAAAGCCUGCUCUGGAACCAGUUUCAGCAGCCUAGUGAUUUCAUGGUCCUCCUUCACUGCUGGCUCCCCUCAGUGCCCAUGCUGGAUUCUGAAGCCAGCAGGGCACCAGCCUGGCUGAGCAGGUCAUCAUGCACCACGGUUGAACCGUAGGCGCCGGAGCACCCACAGAAUUGGCACCUAUGGCUUGAAGCCUGGGUCGUGGCUUGGCUCAGGCUCAGACCCUCCACCCCUGCAUGGUCCUGGGAUCAAGCCAUGGAUUAGUAUGAUUUGUGUGUAGAUGGAAAGUGAGGCGGGUUAGGCUUGAGGUUGAGCCUGGGAUUACACUGCAGCAAACCCUAAGUGAAGGUCUGUAGUACUCUUUGAGCUGCCCUGCUUUGAAACAGGAGGAGAUGA